AUGCAAAUGCUCCUCACUUGUCUUACUUGUAAAACAGUUGCUCCAGUCACCUUCCUGGGAGAGAUGUGGGAAGCAGGUGGCUUCCAGAUCUGCCAGCAGCCUCCUGAAAUGGCUGGUUCCCAUAGUCCUCGAACUGUGGUCCAUAUGUGGCUAAAGACACACAAGACCAUUGUGAAGAACAUUUUUCCUUUGAUGUUUGAUAAGGUAAAUCAUAGCCUGCAAAUAUUUUAAGAAUCUUUUAGUUCAUUUGUCUAAAAACACAUUUGCCUUUGCUUUCCCUGGCAGUAAUGUUCUGAUUGUUUUGGAACAGGGAAUCUGUUCUGCUUCCCUGGAAUCAGGAUCAAAUCCUUGCUACACCCCACAACGCUCUGCCUUUACUAUGUACUAGUGCUAAAUAAUGCUAUAGGAACUACAACUUCUUCUUGGUAACAGUAAGCAGGAGCAAACACAUUUUAUUCCCCAGCUCUGCAGCCUCCCAAGAACAGCCAUCACUCAUCAGACAUCCACAACAGCUGUCCUUCCUGCUGGGGACUAUUCCAAGAAGUGACAACUAAGCUCCAGCCCCCAAAAUAUUUGAAAUUCAGGAGAAGUUGAUACUGACCUCCAUACCUAUAAUGAGCCAGAUGGGGGUUUCUGAGCCUUGAGAAAGGCCAGAUUGUGAUGCAGAUUAGAUCUGAAUACAUGGCUGUAGCCCAGCUUUUGCUUCUGAGAUAUUUUCUGUCUUCCUAGGGAGAGAGAGAGAGAGAGAGAGAGAGAGAGAGAGAGAGAGAGAGAUUAUCUGAGAACUGAUGAUCAUUCCUGUACCAACCCAUGCUGCUACUAGAUUUGGAAGUUAAGUCAGUGCAUAGAUGGAUGAAAAAAUAUGAGCUGUAGGAAACAACAGGAAUCAGAGGGGACUUUGUGGCGUGCCUUGAGGAGGACAAGAGGUGUUGACUGCCUCUUCCCCAACAGUGAACUGCUAACUUGGCUGCUGGCCUCACCUUUUUGACAAUGUGCUUACAGAGGUUUCUACAGGAGUAGAGCAAGUUUCUUCGAACUACAAUUGCUUCAAAUCUGCCACUAACA
Molecule: long non-coding RNA, 1065 nt
Filed under: Anser brachyrhynchus (Pink-footed goose)
Lineage: Eukaryota; Metazoa; Chordata; Aves; Anseriformes; Anatidae
Description: lncRNA (ENSABRG00000012615.1)
Source: RNAcentral